GAUGAACGCUAGCGGCAGGCCUAACACAUGCAAGUCGAGGGGCAGCACAAUAAGUAGCUUGCUACUUAUGGUGGCGACCGGCGCACGGGUGCGUACCGCGUAUGCAACCUACCCAUAACAGGGGGAUAACACUGAGAAAUUGGUACUAAUACCCCAUAACAUUUUGGAAGGCAUCUUCUGAAGUUGAAAACUCCGGUGGUUAUGGAUGGGCAUGCGUUGUAUUAGCUAGUUGGUGAGGUAACGGCUCACCAAGGCGACGAUACAUAGGGGGACUGAGAGGUUAACCCCCCACACUGGUACUGAGACACGGACCAGACUCCUACGGGAGGCAGCAGUGAGGAAUAUUGGUCAAUGGACGCAAGUCUGAACCAGCCAUGCCGCGUGCAGGAAGACGGCUCUAUGAGUUGUAAACUGCUUUUGUAUGAGGGUAAACGCAGAUACGAGUAUCUGCCUGAAAGUAUCAUACGAAUAAGGAUCGGCUAACUCCG
RNAcentral lists this ribosomal RNA (488 nucleotides) under uncultured bacterium. RNAcentral describes it as "bacterial SSU rRNA". It matches the Rfam family "Bacterial small subunit ribosomal RNA", at positions 28 to 505 of the family's 1533-position model. The record is from RNAcentral.